Molecule: ribosomal RNA, 323 nt
Filed under: uncultured eukaryote
Lineage: Eukaryota
Description: SSU rRNA
Rfam family: Eukaryotic small subunit ribosomal RNA
Source: RNAcentral
AGCUCCAAUAGCGUAUAUUAAAGUUGCUGCAGUUAAAAAGCUCGUAGUUGAAUUUGUGGCGCGGCCAUCCGGCGGGGGCUCUUCAUUGAGCCCGUUUGUCCUGGUUUUUGGCCGUUCCUUUCUCGGGUAGCGUGUGGCUGGCAUUAGGUUGUUGGCUGCUUCGCGCCCGUCUUUUACUGUGAAAAAACUAUUUUGUUGGUUUGCACGUUGUGGUAAUGGUUAACAGGAAUAGUUGGGGGUAUUCGUAUUCAAUUGUCAGAGGUGAAAUUCUUGGAUUUGUGGAAGACGAACUACUGCGAAAGCAUUUACCAAGGAUGUUUUCA